UGGGGGAUAUUGGGCAAUGGGGGAAACCCUGACCCAGCGACGCCGCGUGAGGGAAGAAGGUUUUCGGAUUGUAAACCUCUGUCUUUGGGGACGAAUAAAUGACGGUACCCAAGGAGGAAGCUCCGGCUAACUACGUGCCAGCAGCCGCGGUAAUACGUAGGGAGCAAGCGUUGUCCGGAAUUACUGGGUGUAAAGGGAGCGUAGGCGGGUAAUUAAGUUGAAUGUUAAACCUACAGGCUCAACCUGUAGUUGCGUUCAAAACUGAAUAUCUUGAGUGAAGUAGAGGCAGGCGGAAUUCCUAGUGUAGCGGUGAAAUGCGUAGAUAUUAGGAGGAACACCAGUGGCGAAGGCGGCCUGCUGGGCUUUUACUGACGCUGAGGCUCGAAAGUGUGGGGAGCAAACA
This is a ribosomal RNA of 403 nucleotides. It matches the Rfam family "Bacterial small subunit ribosomal RNA", at positions 355 to 774 of the family's 1533-position model.